Molecule: long non-coding RNA, 2330 nt
Filed under: Mus musculus (house mouse)
Lineage: Eukaryota; Metazoa; Chordata; Mammalia; Rodentia; Muridae
Description: RIKEN cDNA F830010H11 gene (F830010H11Rik)
Source: RNAcentral
CGCUCUGAGGAACGCGGCUUGCUGGGUGGAAGCACCACAGUCGCUGUCUUUGUUCUUUUGCCAACGUGCGGUACCUCUCAGGAAAGCCAUGGACAGGCAGGCGGAGGCCGGGCACUUGGCGGGACCCGAAGCCCGCUAUGGGCAGGAGGCGGGGAGGUCGGGAUGGCGGGAACCGGCCGGGGGGCGGGCCAGCUCUUGGCGGGAAUGGGCGCUGAGUGGUUCUCGGGAGGGGGAGGGGAGGAGACGGGCGGGCGCCUGAGCCAAGUUUGAAAUAGUUCAAAACUCGGGUUGGUAACGGUCUUAACCGCCCUCUUCUCCGGCGUGCCAUACUGGGCCCGGGGUCCAACACUUUUGUUGGCGCCACUGAAAGGAAGGCGUGUGACCGGCCCCACAGGGGAUUCAAUGCGGGGCGGCCCUCGCUCCUCACGGAGAGCACCAGUAGGCAGAUAAAGUUAGUGCGGUUCCUUUCGGCACCUUGGAGGCUUUGGCUAGCAAAACUGGUGCCUAAUCCCCUGACGACGGAAGAAAAGGCGACCAGAUUUCUCUGAAAGGCCUUCCAAGCUGCGUUUAUGGUUCUUAGCACUUAUCAAGGUUUCAAGUUGUUUAUUAACAACUUUUGAGAGCAAAUAGCUCACCCCAUGUUUUCUCAGCAAAGUGUAAGGAGUUUGCAACAUUUGUCAAUGGCAUCUUGGGAGUCAACCUUUCUCCCCGAGGAAUAGAAAUGAGCUGCUUAUACAGUACGCAGCCCAACCCCCACUCCCUGUUCAGUUAUCUGGCAAUGAGGUGAAUAAUGGUAUUUCAAAUUUACUUUUAAUAAGAUGCAUCUGAAUGGCAAAAUCCCACAGACCUGUGAAAACAGGUUCAAUAGUGAAGAGUUCAGACUGAGAAUUUGUAACACUCUGGAAGUUAUGUAUCUGUAUUGGUCGUGGUUCUCUAGAGGAACAGGUUGAAUGAAUGAAUGAAUAAAUGAAUGUAUUCAUUCCUUCACUGAUAGAAUGGAUAGAGAACUGAGAAUGAAUAUGUAUAUAGAUUUUCAGAAUAUAUAGAAAGAAGGAAUAUAUACAUAAUCCUUCACUGGCAUUAGAGCACACAUCUUCUGGCUUCCUUCAGCCAAAGACACCCAGGCUUGUAGACUCAAGAACUAGCGGAUUCUUGGGUUUUCCGUUGGUAAACAGUAAUUGUUGGACUAGCUGGACCUACAGCCUGUAAGCCACUCUAAUAAACUAGUGUGUGUGUAUGUAAGCGGAAAAUUCAAGAAUCCACUAGUUCAGUUCAUAAGCUGGGAUGCCUUCAGCUGAACUUCAUUAUACACCUGAAAUUCGGUAUACAUUAUACAUUGGCACAAAUGCCAAUAAAGGAAUGGGCUUGCCAAGUAGAGUGAGGACAAGCAGGUGCAGCUUCCCACCUUAAAAGAUCUGGAUUAAAAGUCAAAUGAUUUAGUUAAGAAAAAAGCCAUCGUGGGUGUACCCUUAGUUUUUAGUUAAUUCUUGGGUUUUAGUUAAUACCCUAUGUAGUCAACUUGACAACCAAGAAUAGCCAGAGAAAAAUACACUCAUGUUCAAAUAAAAAUAUAUAUAAAAGAAAAAUAUGAGUUACUCAAGAGUGCUCUAUAAUGUGACAAACUAGCAGUCAACAAUAUACUAACUUGUCCUGGUAAAAAAGCUAUCCAACUACAUCAACAACUUAUACGUGCUUUUUUUUUUUUCUUUUUUUUCAGUAAACAAUUUAGACUUGAGGUAACUGCUUAUCUUGAACUUUGUGUUACUAUUUUAAAUGUCCUUUAAUAUUAAGUAUUGAUAACAUUUUUAUAGAAAAAUCAAGGAAUUUACAUUAGUAUAUAUAUGGAGCUUCUAAAGAAAUCCAAGAGUUGUAAUGAAAAUUGUUAGGUGUUUAGAAGCAAGAAAUGUUAAAUAUUUAAACAAAACUGGUUUAAGAAAAGAACAUUUUAGCCAGCUUCAGAAAAAGCACAAGACCUAGAAUGGAUGGGGCAACAAAAGUACUCCAAAUAGACAUGUACAAUCUACAUAGAAAACAUAAUUGGAGCUGAGAAUUCUUAUUUAAAAGAGUGAGCAGAACUAAGUGCUUCUACAUUAAGUAUGUACUUUUUUAAAUAUAAAGUCUAGGUUGGAAUAGUAAAGCUGAAUGAGUACCAGUGAAUCAGCAUUGCCUUAAUUCUGUGAUGACAUUAACCAACUACAAAAGAUAGUUAGGGUAUAGUGAUGGGCAGAAAAAAAUGGAAUAACCUGACUUUGCAAAUAAGUUGAUUAUGUAGAGAGGAUUUGAUAUUUUGCAACAGUGUUUAUGAAGGCCAGGAAAAUGAGAAAAAAAAA